Molecule: ribosomal RNA, 479 nt
Filed under: uncultured bacterium
Lineage: Bacteria
Description: bacterial SSU rRNA
Rfam family: Bacterial small subunit ribosomal RNA
Source: RNAcentral
GGCUCAGAUUGAACGCUGGCGGCAGGCCUAACACAUGCAAGUCGAGCGGGGUUUUCGGACCUAGCGGCGGACGGGUGAGUAAUGCGUAGGAAGCUGCCCGAUAGAGGGGGAUACCAGUUGGAAACGACUGUUAAUACCGCAUAAUGUCUACGGACCAAAGUGUGGGGACCUUCGGGCCACAUGCUAUCGGAUGCGCCUACGUGGGAUUAGCUAGUUGGUGAGGUAAUGGCUCACCAAGGCGACGAUCUCUAGCUGGUUUGAGAGGAUGAUCAGCCACACUGGAACUGAGACACGGUCCAGACUCCUACGGGAGGCAGCAGUGGGGAAUAUUGGACAAUGGGCGCAAGCCUGAUCCAGCCAUGCCGCGUGUGUGAAGAAGGCCUUCGGGUUGUAAAGCACUUUCAGCGAGGAGGAAGGGUGGUGUUUAAUAGAGCAUCAUUUUGACGUUACUCGCAGAAGAAGCACCGGCUAACUCUGUG